Aegilops tauschii subsp. strangulata is the source of this 859-nucleotide long non-coding RNA. RefSeq lists it as uncharacterized. The record is from RefSeq and is a predicted model, not a curated record. Lineage: Eukaryota; Viridiplantae; Streptophyta; Magnoliopsida; Poales; Poaceae.
GCAAUAGCGUCGGACGGCCAUAAAAGCGUCUAUCGGCAGGCCCUGGGCGUGCGGGUACUUGAGUGAUGUGACCGCUCAGCCCACGCACCGUCAGCUCACUCCCGAUCUGAAUCCGGAUCUACUCGUUUCACUUCAGUCUGCGGCGACGACUUUUCUCCUCCACCGCAGAUCUCGUCGGCGCUAGCACCAGCGGCAGCGCCAAAGAGCUCGAUCUGCUCUGCUGUCAACUUCUUCAGCGUCGCGAACUGGAGGCGGAGAGCUGCCGUUCGGUGUUCGUUCAGGCUGCUCUUCUUCAACCUUCUGCCUUUGGCGUCGUCUCUCCUCCUCACGGAUCCCGGUCGAGAUCUCGUCCACCGCCAGGUCGCACCCUGCUGCAGCCUUGUGGUCACGAGGCGAGGUCGCCGUCUUCGCGUCAACUGGAAUCACAUCUGGCAUCGACAAGCUUACUAUUUCCUCCGGCCCGAUCUCGCAUCGAGAAGCAAUUUCCUCCGGUUGGAUGUGGCAUCGACAAGCUUACUGUUUCCUCCGGUUUGAUCUGGCAUCGAUCUGGAAUCACAUCACAUGUUUGGUCUUCCCUGAUCCAGAUCUCUUCACUGCAUCGAUCUGGCCUCCCUCCGAGCACCUCCCGACUGCAAGGUGUCAAUGUUGAUGUGUCCCUUUGCUGAGGACCUGAGCAUGUCAUCUGUUGUCUUGGGGACAUGAGCCUCAUGGUAUUUCAGGAUACUUCCAUGACGCCAAAUAUCUCCGGAAGUCAAUUCACAUGGCUUUGCUUCCUCCUCUCUUUUUACAUGUUGCUGCUGAACAUGUGCUCUUCAGUCUGUACCUAAAAGUGUCAAUGAUUUUGUUCACGUUGUGCUUA